Molecule: ribosomal RNA, 484 nt
Filed under: uncultured bacterium
Lineage: Bacteria
Description: partial 16S ribosomal RNA
Rfam family: Bacterial small subunit ribosomal RNA
Source: RNAcentral
AUUGAACGCUGGCGGCAUGCUUUACACAUGCAAGUCGAACGGCAGCGCGGGCUUCGGCCUGGCGGCGAGUGGCGAACGGGUGAGUAAUACAUCGGAACGUGCCCAGUAGUGGGGGAUAGCUCGGCGAAAGCCGGAUUAAUACCGCAUACGACCUGAGGGUGAAAGCGGGGGAUCUUCGGAACUCGCGCUAUUGGAGCGGCCGAUGGCAGAUUAGCUAGUUGGUGGGGUAAAGGCCUAUCAAGGCGACGAUCUGUAGCUGGUCUGAGAGGACGACCAGCCACACUGGGACUGAGACACGGCCCAGACUCCUACGGGAGGCAGCAGUGGGGAAUUUUGGACAAUGGGCGAAAGCCUGAUCCAGCAAUGCCGCGUGUGUGAUGAAGGCCUUCGGGUUGUAAAGCACUUUUGGCGGGAACGAAAAGGACUGUGCCAAUACCACGGUUCGAUGACGGUACCCGCAGAAUAAGCACCGGCUAACUACGUG